AUAAUUUGAAAUUAAUUUAUUAUUAAAUUUUAUAGGUUUAAUUUGGUUAAAAUAAAUAUAUUUAUUUUUAGUAAAUUUAAGUUAAAAAAAUAUUUUUAUUAUAGUUUAUUAGUAUCGAUAGAGAAAUUUUUUAAUUUUUAUAAAGAAAAAUUUAUUUUUUGUACCUUGUGUAUCAGGGCUAAUUAAAUAAAAUUUAAUUAUUUUAAAUUUCUCGAAUUUAAAAGAUUUAUAUUUAUAUAUUUGUUAUUGUUGAAUAAAUAAAUUUAAUAUAAAUAUGGAAAUGAAAUGUUUAUCGUUUUUAAAUAUAUCUAGUUUUUUAAGAAAAAAAUUUAAUUUUAUUUUUAAUUUAUUAUAAAAUUUUUGAGUUUAAUUUUAUAAUAUUAAAAUUUUAUAAUUUAAGGGAUGAGCUUUAAAUUAGAAUGAAUAUAAGAUUUAUAUUUAAAAAUUAAUUUAUAGGAUUAUAAGUUUCUAUUUUUAGUGUGUUUUAACUAAUUAAUUUUUUAGUUUUGAUUUAUAAAUAAUUUAUUUAUUUUAUUAAAAUAAAGUUUUAAAUUUUUUAGGAUUUGUAAUAAUGAUUGGAUUAGUAUAAAAUAACUUAAUUUGUUAAUUAAAUUCAAGGUAUAGUAAAGGAAUUCGGCAAAUUAAUUUUUCACCUGUUUAGUAAAAACAUGGCCUUUUGAUUAUAAUUUAAGGUCGAGCCUGCCCUAUGAAAUUUAAAUGGCUGCGGUAAUUUGACCGUGCAAAGGUAGCAUAAUCAUUAGUUUUUUAAUUGAAAGCUGGUAUGAAUGGUUUGAUGAAAAAAUAGCUGUCUCUAUUAUAAUUUUAUAGAAUUUUAUUUUUAAGUAAAAAAGCUUAAAUAAGUAUUGAAGACGAGAAGACCCUAUAGAGUUUGAUAUUAAAAUUAAUUAGAGUUUUUAGUAUUUUAAAAUUUGAUUUUUGAUAAUAUUUAAUUGGGGUGAUUAAAAAAUUUAAUAAACUUUUUUUUUAUGUAAACAUUGAUUUAUGAAUAAAUGAUCCCUUUUUAGGAUUAAAAGAUUAAAUUACCUUAGGGAUAACAGCGUAAUUUUUUUUAAGAGUUCAUAUCUAAAAAAAAGUUUGCGACCUCGAUGUUGGAUUAAAAUUUAUUUUUGGUGUAGAAGCUAAAAUAUUUAGGUCUGUUCGACCUUUAAAAUUUUACAUGAUCUGAGUUUAAACCGGUGUGAGCCAGGUUGGUUUCUAUCUCGAUAAAGUUUAUAGAUUUUAGUACGAAAGGACCAAAUUUGUAAUUAAAAAUUUUUUUUUAGAAUAUUAU
This 1291-nucleotide ribosomal RNA is filed under the name Curculionoidea sp. 12 KM-2017. Its description in RNAcentral is "16S ribosomal RNA". The stretch from base 1051 to 1210 matches the Rfam family "Archaeal large subunit ribosomal RNA", at positions 2542 to 2701 of the family's 2987-position model. Lineage: Eukaryota; Metazoa; Arthropoda; Insecta; Coleoptera. The record is from RNAcentral.